This 516-nucleotide ribosomal RNA is filed under the name Triticum aestivum (bread wheat). RNAcentral describes it as "partial small subunit ribosomal RNA". The record is from RNAcentral. Lineage: Eukaryota; Viridiplantae; Streptophyta; Magnoliopsida; Poales; Poaceae.
AUGUGGAGUGAUUAUCUACAAGUGAAUGUACAUACUUCUAAUUUCCAUGUUAUCUUAGCUAUUGUUCUUAGUAUAGCCAGUAAGGAGGAGUUUGUUCUGGUUUGCAUAUAUGGAGAUCCAUACCAUCACGAAACAAACCAGAUUUGGGAGAUAGUGGCAUCUUUUGUGUAUGAUAAUGUCAGCAAGCCUGUAGUUUGUAUAGGAGACAUGAAUGACAUUCUCUAUGAUAUGGACAAAAGUACUCCCUAUGUUAAUACUAAUCGUAUGAAUGCUUUCCGCAAUCUUGUGAAGUCUUGUGGUUUGAUUGAUCUUGGUUAUAGUUGGUCUGCUUAUACCUGGACUAACAAACGUUUUACUAAUCCAACUUAUGAAAGACUUGAUAGAUGUUUGGUGAAUGCUGAGUGGUGUGCUCUUUAUCCGAAUACAAAUGUCUAUAAUCUUCCUAUUACUCUGAGUGAUCAUGCUCCCAUACUUAUUUCUACUGAUGGUAAAUUUCGAAAACCUAUGCAAACAUUC